UGGCGGCGUGCCUAACACAUGCAAGUCGAACGAAGCACCUUACCUGAUUCUUCGGAUGAAGGUCUGGUGACUGAGUGGCGGACGGGUGAGUAACGCGUGGGUAACCUGCCCUGUACAGGGGGAUAACAGUUGGAAACGGCUGCUAAUACCGCAUAAGCGCACGAGAGGACAUCCUCUUGUGUGAAAAACUCCGGUGGUACAGGAUGGGCCCGCGUCUGAUUAGCUGGUUGGCAGGGUAACGGCCUACCAAGGCGACGAUCAGUAGCCGGUCUGAGAGGAUGAACGGCCACAUUGGAACUGAGACACGGUCCAAACUCCUACGGGAGGCAGCAGUGGGGAAUAUUGCACAAUGGGGGAAACCCUGAUGCAGCAACGCCGCGUGAGUGAAGAAGUAUUUCGGUAUGUAAAGCUCUAUCAGCAGGGAAGAUAAUGACGGUACCUGACUAAGAAGCUCCGGCUAAAUACGUGCCAGCAGCCGCGGUAAUACGUAUGGAGCAAGCGUUAUCCGGAUUUACUGGGUGUAAAGGGUGCGUAGGUGGCAGUGCAAGUCAGAUGUGAAAGGCCGGGGCUCAACCCCGGAGCUGCAUUUGAAACUGCAUAGCUAGAGUACAGGAGAGGCAGGCGGAAUUCCUAGUGUAGCGGUGAAAUGCGUAGAUAUUAGGAGGAACACCAGUGGCGAAGGCGGCCUGCUGGACUGUUACUGACACUGAGGCA
Molecule: ribosomal RNA, 714 nt
Filed under: uncultured Lachnospiraceae bacterium
Lineage: Bacteria; Bacillati; Bacillota; Clostridia; Lachnospirales; Lachnospiraceae
Description: bacterial SSU rRNA
Rfam family: Bacterial small subunit ribosomal RNA
Source: RNAcentral